UGGCCUCAGAUCAGGGAGGAUCACCCGCCGAAUU
RNAcentral lists this ribosomal RNA (34 nucleotides) under Plebejus melissa (orange-bordered blue). RNAcentral's name for it is "partial 28S ribosomal RNA". Lineage: Eukaryota; Metazoa; Arthropoda; Insecta; Lepidoptera; Lycaenidae. RNAcentral also lists the same sequence under 20 other names. The record is from RNAcentral.